RNAcentral lists this ribosomal RNA (801 nucleotides) under uncultured bacterium. RNAcentral's name for it is "bacterial SSU rRNA". It matches the Rfam family "Bacterial small subunit ribosomal RNA", at positions 8 to 798 of the family's 1533-position model. The record is from RNAcentral.
AGAGUUUGAUCAUGGCUCAGAUUGAACGCUGGCGGCAGGCCUAACACAUGCAAGUCGAGCGGUAGCACAAGAGAGCUUGCUCUCUGGGUGACGAGCGGCGGACGGGUGAGUAAUGUCUGGGGAACUGCCUGAUGGAGGGGGAUAACUACUGGAAACGGUAGCUAAUACCGCAUAACGUCUUCGGACCAAAGUGGGGGACCUUCGGGCCUCACGCCAUCAGAUGUGCCCAGAUGGGAUUAGCUAGUAGGUGGGGUAAUGGCUCACCUAGGCGACGAUCCCUAGCUGGUCUGAGAGGAUGACCAGCCACACUGGAACUGAGACACGGUCCAGACUCCUACGGGAGGCAGCAGUGGGGAAUAUUGCACAAUGGGCGCAAGCCUGAUGCAGCCAUGCCGCGUGUGUGAAGAAGGCCUUCGGGUUGUAAAGCACUUUCAGCGAGGAGGAAGGGUAGUGUGUUAAUAGCACAUUGCAUUGACGUUACUCGCAGAAGAAGCACCGGCUAACUCCGUGCCAGCAGCCGCGGUAAUACGGAGGGUGCAAGCGUUAAUCGGAAUUACUGGGCGUAAAGCGCACGCAGGCGGUUUGUUAAGUCAGAUGUGAAAUCCCCGCGCUUAACGUGGGAACUGCAUUUGAAACUGGCAAGCUAGAGUCUUGUAGAGGGGGGUAGAAUUCCAGGUGUAGCGGUGAAAUGCGUAGAGAUCUGGAGGAAUACCGGUGGCGAAGGCGGCCCCCUGGACAAAGACUGACGCUCAGGUGCGAAAGCGUGGGGAGCAAACAGGAUUAGAUACCCCGGUAGUCCAA